GAGGAUGCGAGCGUUAUCCGGAUUUAUUGGGUUUAAAGGGUGCGUAGGCGGGCUGCCAAGUCAGCGGUAAAAUUGCGGGGCUCAACCCCGUCGAGCCGUUGAAACUGGUGGUCUUGAGUGGGCGAGAAGUACGCGGAAUGUGUGGUGUAGCGGUGAAAUGCAUAGAUAUCACGCAGAACUCCGAUUGCGAAGGCAGCGUACCGGCGCCCGACUGACGCUGAAGCACGAAAGCGUGGGUAUCGAA
RNAcentral lists this ribosomal RNA (244 nucleotides) under uncultured bacterium. RNAcentral describes it as "partial 16S ribosomal RNA". It matches the Rfam family "Bacterial small subunit ribosomal RNA", at positions 528 to 772 of the family's 1533-position model. The record is from RNAcentral.